UUCCGGUUGAUCCUGCCGGAGGCUACUGCUAUCGGAGUCCGAUUUAGCCAUGCUAGUCCACCGAGCCUUGCUCGGGGCGGAUAGCUGAGUAACACGUGGCUAACCUACCCUGUGGAUGGGGAUAACCUCGCUAACGUGAGGCUAAUACCCAAUAGUAGAUGGUUGCUGGAAAGCGCCGUCUGUGAAAUGUUCCGACGCCAUAGGAUGGAGCCGCGGCUGAUUAGGUGGUUGGUGAGGUAACGGCUCACCAAGCCAGUAAUCAGUAGCAGCCGUGAGAGCGGGAGCUGCCAGUUGGCUUCUGAGACAAGAAGCCAGACCCUACGGGGUGCAGCAGGCACGAAACCUUCACAAUGCACGAGAGUGCGAUGGGGGGACUCCGAGUGUAAUCUUCCCACAAGGAAGGUUACUUUUCUGCACUGUAAGGAGGUGCCGGAACAAGGGGUGGGCAAUACUGCUGCCAGCCGCCGCGGU
This 471-nucleotide ribosomal RNA is filed under the name uncultured archaeon. RNAcentral's name for it is "bacterial SSU rRNA". It matches the Rfam family "Archaeal small subunit ribosomal RNA", at positions 1 to 471 of the family's 1478-position model. The record is from RNAcentral.